This 468-nucleotide ribosomal RNA is filed under the name uncultured bacterium. RNAcentral describes it as "partial 16S ribosomal RNA". It matches the Rfam family "Bacterial small subunit ribosomal RNA", at positions 28 to 507 of the family's 1533-position model. The record is from RNAcentral.
GACGAACGCUGGCGGCGUGCUUAACACAUGCAAGUCGAACGGAAAGGCCCUGCUUUUGUGGGGUGCUCGAGGGGCGAACGGGUGAGUAACACGGGAGUAACCUGCCCUUGACUUUGGGAUAACUUCAGGAAACUGGGGCUAAUACCGGAUAGGAGCUCCUGCUGCAUGGGGGGGGUUGGAAAGUUUCGGCGGGGGGGGCUGGACUCGCGGCUUAUCAGCUUGUUGGGGGGGUAGUGGCUUACCAAGGCUUUGACGGGUAGCCGGCCUGGGAGGGUGACCACCGACAUUGGUCCUGCGAUACGCAGCAGUCUCGUACAGUAGGCAGAAGUGGGGAACAUUGCACAGUCGGCGGGAGCCUGAUGCGGCGGCGCCCCGUUCGUGAUGCCGUCCUUCGGGUUGUAAACCGCUUUCGCUUGAUACCAUGCUUUUUUGACGGUAAUGGGUAAAGAAGCACCGGCUAACUACGUG